ACAACGGAUCUCUUGGUUCCAGCAUCGAUGAAGAACGCAGCGAAAUGCGAUAAGUAAUGUGAAUUGCAGAAUUCCGUGAAUCAUCGAAUCUUUGAACGCACAUUGCGCCCUCUGGUAUUCCGGGGGGCAUGCCUGUCCGAGCGUCAUUGACACAAAU
RNAcentral lists this ribosomal RNA (157 nucleotides) under uncultured fungus. Its description in RNAcentral is "5.8S ribosomal RNA". It matches the Rfam family "5.8S ribosomal RNA". From Rfam's summary of the family: 5.8S ribosomal RNA (5.8S rRNA) is a component of the large subunit of the eukaryotic ribosome. It is transcribed by RNA polymerase I as part of the 45S precursor that also contains 18S and 28S rRNA. Lineage: Eukaryota; Fungi. The record is from RNAcentral.